This is a long non-coding RNA of Malus domestica (apple), 1523 nucleotides long. RefSeq lists it as uncharacterized. The record is from RefSeq and is a predicted model, not a curated record. NCBI's taxonomy places the organism in Eukaryota, Viridiplantae, Streptophyta, Magnoliopsida, Rosales, Rosaceae.
UGGGGAGAGGAGAGAAGAGAAGAUGACCAACCAGAGAAGGGGGAAAUGAGAGAAAGGAGAGAAGAAGAGGAGGAGAAUCGCUGGGUUCACCAUGACCCGUGCCCAACACGGCGGAAAUGCAUGAAAUUCAGUGCUUUCUCCGGUCAAAUUCCGACGAAUUCCAACGACCUACUACUUGGGAACUCCUCAUCAAUCAUUCCUCUUCGAUUUCCUAUACAAAUUGGACAAGAUUUGAUCUUGAUUUCUUGGCAAAAGCAUCGGCGGCACCAUGGUGUUCUUGGUGGCAAUCUGCCAUUUCUGCAAUGAUUUCUCUCAAUUGCCACCACAAAUAUACUUCCCUUCAGCCAAGAAACAAUGCCCAAUCAUUGAUUGGAGCAGCGGAGUUGAUUUGAGAACGAAUCAAAGCACCCCCAAACCUAGGGUUCCGGCGGGUUUUCAUGAAAUUGAGGCUUUUCCAGGCCAAAUUGGCCUUGGUCAUAGGCGAAGAUGGUUCGUUAUAUCUUGAUAUGCAUGCUAGGGAAUCGUAGCGCGGACCUCAGGUUUUAUUAGCUAUGCUUUCUUAUCGUCGAAGAUUCGUGGCGAUUCCUAGUUGGAGAUUCUUUCGAGGGUUUUAUUAGCUGUGCUUUCUUAUCAUCGAAGAUUCGUGGCGAUUCCUAGUUGGAGAUUCUUUCGAGGGAUGAAAUUGAUGAAAUCAGUGCUUUGAUCAUUGGUAAAUGCGGGGAAAAAUUAUUUGGUACAAGCUGCAAAAAUUUGGUCUUCAAUUUGACACUAGGGAAUCAACAACAGUUGCCAAAUGAAUUUUUAGACUGAUAGGCCAGAAAAAAACUUUCCACCUUCAAUUCAGCAAGCUCAAAAAUUACAUGAACUCCAAUGAUCUUCUUAUCCACAAUGUCUCUGAAGAUGUGUCCAUGCAACCAACAACACCGCUGCCUCUUUUCAGACAAGUGGCAAUGUCUUCCACUACAGUAUCAUCAUCUACCUCAACCUCAAAUGCAAGUGCCCAAUCAUAUAAAAGAAAGAGGGAAUUAGUCAGUAGAUCAUUUUUAUCGAUGCCAAGAAAAGAAAUUUAAGAAGCUAGUGUCCAAGAUUUUGAUGAAAUUCCUAUCAAGUUAUUGAAAAGGUCUUCUCCAACUGGUUCAGAAAAAAACAUCUCUCCACCAAAAAAAAUAUUAGUAAAGAAGGUUUGAUGCAAGUGCUUCAUGUUUUGCUGAAGAAAAACAAGGCAUAAAAUGCAUGCUUCAUGUUCUGCUCAAGAGAAGCAUGACAUAGUUAUUAUGGAUUUUAAUAAAUCCAGACAAUGUUUCUCUAUAUCUUUUGCCAACUGAACAGUACAACAUGGUCUAAAUGCCUUAAUAUUUUUUGCAUGUGAAUAGCACAAUGUUGCUAAUGUUUUUGGCAUGUAAAUAACACAAUGUUGCCAAUAUAUUUUGAGUGUAAAUAGCACAUAACUCUGUAAUAUUUUUUGAGCAACUAUUGCAGCCAAUGUAAAGCUACAAACCACUAAAUUCAAAUGUCUGGCUGAA